This 515-nucleotide ribosomal RNA is filed under the name uncultured bacterium. Its description in RNAcentral is "partial 16S ribosomal RNA". It matches the Rfam family "Bacterial small subunit ribosomal RNA", at positions 28 to 523 of the family's 1533-position model. The record is from RNAcentral.
GAUGAACGCUGGCGGCGUGCCUAAUACAUGCAAGUCGAGCGAAUGGAUUAAGAGCUUGCUCUUAUGAAGUUAGCGGCGGACGGGUGAGUAACACGUGGGUAACCUGCCCAUAAGACUGGGAUAACUCCGGGAAACCGGGGCUAAUACCGGAUAACAUUUUGAACCGCAUGGUUCGAAAUUGAAAGGCGGCUUCGGCUGUCACUUAUGGAUGGACCCGCGUCGCAUUAGCUAGUGGGUGAGGUAACGGCUCACCAAGGCAACGAUGCGUAGCCGACCUGAGAGGGUGGUCGGCCACACUGGGACUGAGACACGGCCCAGACUCCUACGGGAGGCAGCAGUAGGGAAUCUUCCGCAAUGGACGAAAGUCUGACGGAGCAACGCCGCGUGAGUGAUGAAGGCUUUCGGGUCGUAAAACUCUGUUGUUAGGGAAGAACAAGUGCUAGUUGAAUAAGCUGGCACCUUGACGGUACCUAACCAGAGAGCCACGGCUAACUACGUGCCAGCCGCCGCGGUAA